This 27-nucleotide non-coding RNA is filed under the name Mus musculus (house mouse). The record is from RNAcentral. Lineage: Eukaryota; Metazoa; Chordata; Mammalia; Rodentia; Muridae.
UGCCAGUUGAUGUCAAUGAACUGGAGC